Ribosomal RNA from Otolemur garnettii (small-eared galago), 119 nucleotides. The record is from Ensembl. NCBI's taxonomy places the organism in Eukaryota, Metazoa, Chordata, Mammalia, Primates, Galagidae.
GUCUAUGGCCGUACCACCCUGAACCUGCCGAAUCUCAUCUGAUCUUGGAAGCUAAGCAGGGUCGCGCCUGGUUAGUACUUGAAUGGGAGACCACCUGGGAAUACCGGUGGCUUUAAAAA